Molecule: ribosomal RNA, 519 nt
Filed under: uncultured Fusobacteriota bacterium
Lineage: Bacteria; Fusobacteriati; Fusobacteriota
Description: bacterial SSU rRNA
Rfam family: Bacterial small subunit ribosomal RNA
Source: RNAcentral
UGAGGAAUCUUCCACAAUGGACGAAAGUCUGAUGGAGCGACACCGCGUGAAGGAUGACGGUCUAACGAUUGUAAACUUCUUUUCUGAGGGAGAAUAAUGAUAGUACCUCAGGAAUAAGGGACGGCUAAUUACGUGCCAGCAGCCGCGGUAAUACGUAAGUCCCAAGCGUUACCCGGAAUUAUUGGGUGUAAAGGGUUCGUAGGUGGACCUAUAAGUCAGGUAUGAAAGACCGGAGCUCAACUCCGCGUUUGUGCUUGAAACUGUAGGCCUAGAAUCAGGGAGAGGUAAGCGGAAUUCUUAGUGUAGGGGUGCAAUCCGUAGAUACUAAGAAGAACACCAAAAGCGAAGGCAGCUUACUGGAACUGUAUUGACACUGAGGAACGAAAGCGUGGGGAGCGAAAGGGAUUAGAUACCCCUGUAGUCCACGCCCUAAACGAUGAUAACUAAGUGUUGGGAAUUGUCCCAGUGCUGUAGCUAACGCGUUAAGUUAUCCACCUGAGGAGUACGGUCGCAAGAUUA